RNAcentral lists this ribosomal RNA (319 nucleotides) under Escherichia coli. RNAcentral describes it as "partial 23S ribosomal RNA". It matches the Rfam family "Bacterial large subunit ribosomal RNA", at positions 1430 to 1751 of the family's 2925-position model. Lineage: Bacteria; Pseudomonadati; Pseudomonadota; Gammaproteobacteria; Enterobacterales; Enterobacteriaceae. RNAcentral also lists the same sequence under 1 other name. The record is from RNAcentral.
UUAAUAUUCCUGUACUUGGUGUUACUGCGAAGGGGGGACGGAGAAGGCUAUGUUGGCCGGGCGACGGUUGUCCCGGUUUAAGCGUGUAGGCUGGUUUUCCAGGCAAAUCCGGAAAAUCAAGGCUGAGGCGUGAUGACGAGGCACUACGGUGCUGAAGCAACAAAUGCCCUGCUUCCAGGAAAAGCCUCUAAGCAUCAGGUAACAUCAAAUCGUACCCCAAACCGACACAGGUGGUCAGGUAGAGAAUACCAAGGCGCUUGAGAGAACUCGGGUGAAGGAACUAGGCAAAAUGGUGCCGUAACUUCGGGAGAAGGCACGC